This 433-nucleotide ribosomal RNA is filed under the name uncultured bacterium. Its description in RNAcentral is "partial 16S ribosomal RNA". It matches the Rfam family "Bacterial small subunit ribosomal RNA", at positions 29 to 507 of the family's 1533-position model. The record is from RNAcentral.
AACGAACGCUGGCGGCAGGCCUAACACAUGCAAGUCGAACGAGCAUUUCGGUGCUAGUGGCGCACGGGUGCGUAACGCGUGGGAACGUGCCCUUUUGUUCGGAAUAACCCCGGGAAAGGGGGGCUAAUACCGCAUACGCCCUUUGGUGCAAAGAUUUAUCGGAUAAGGAUCGGCCCGCGUUGGAUUAGGUAGUUGGUGGGGUAAAGGCCUACCAAGGCGACGAUCCAUAGCUGGUUUGAGAGGAUGAUCAGCCACACUGGGACUGAGACACGGCCCAGACUCCUACGGGAGGCAGCAGUGGGGAAUCUUAGACAAUGGGGGCAAGCCUGAUCUAGCCAUGCCGCGUGAGUGAUGAAGGCCUUAGGGUUGUAAAGCUCUUUCAGCUGGGAAGAUAAUGACGGUACCGGCAGAAGAAGCCCCGGCUAACUCCGUG